RNAcentral lists this ribosomal RNA (1172 nucleotides) under Methanococcoides sp. RNAcentral describes it as "bacterial SSU rRNA". It matches the Rfam family "Archaeal small subunit ribosomal RNA", at positions 129 to 1305 of the family's 1478-position model. The record is from RNAcentral. Lineage: Archaea; Methanobacteriati; Methanobacteriota; Methanomicrobia; Methanosarcinales; Methanosarcinaceae. RNAcentral also lists the same sequence under 1 other name.
ACUCCGGGACUGGAGAUAAUUCCGAAUAGGUCAAAUAUGCUGGAAUGCUUUUUGGCCAAAAGACUUCGGUUGCCUAAGGAUGGAUCUGCGGUCUAUCAGGUAGUAGUGGGUGUAACGUACCUACUAGCCUACGACGGAUAUGGGUUGUGAGAGCAAGAGCCCAGAGAUGGAUUCUGAGACAUGAAUCCAGGCCCUACGGGGCGCAGCAGGCGCGAAAACUUUACAAUGCGGGAAACCGCGAUAAGGGGACACCGAGUGCCAGCAUUUAUGUUGGCUGUCCACAUGUGUAAACGGCAUGUGUUAGCAAGGGCCGGGCAAGACCGGUGCCAGCCGCCGCGGUAACACCGGCGGCCCGAGUGGUAAUCACUUUUAUUGGGUCUAAAGGGUCCGUAGCCGGUUUGAUCAGUUCUUCGGGAAAUCUGACAGCUCAACUGUUAGGCUUCCGGGGAAUACUGUCAGACUUGGGACCGGGAGAGGUAAGAGGUACUACAGGGGUAGGAGUGAAAUCUUGUAAUCCCUGUGGGACCACCAGUGGCGAAGGCGUCUUACCAGAACGGGUCCGACGGUGAGGGACGAAAGCUGGGGGCACGAACCGGAUUAGAUACCCGGGUAGUCCCAGCCGUAAACGAUGUUCGCUAGGUGUCAGGGGCGGUGCGACCGCUUCUGGUGCCGUAGGGAAGCCGUGAAGCGAACCACCUGGGAAGUACGGCCGCAAGGCUGAAACUUAAAGGAAUUGGCGGGGGAGCACUACAACGGGUGGAGCCUGCGGUUUAAUUGGACUCAACGCCGGAAAACUCACCGGGGGCGACAGCAAUAUGUAGUCAAGCUAAAGACUUUACCUGAAUCGCUGAGAGGAGGUGCAUGGCCGUCGUCAGUUCGUACUGUGAAGCAUCCUGUUAAGUCAGCAACGAGCGAGACCCGUGCCCACUGUUGCCAGCAUGUCCUUCGGGAUGAUGGGUACUCUGUGGGGACCGCUGGUGCUAAACCAGAGGAAGGUGCGGGCUACGGUAGGUCAGUAUGCCCCGAAUCUCCCGGGCUACACGCGGGCUACAAUGGUUGGGACAAUGGGUCCCUACACCGAAAGGUGAUGGUAAUCUCUUAAACCCAACCGUAGUUCGAAUCGAGGACUGUAACUCGUCCUCGUGAAGCUGGAAUCCGUAGUAAUCGCGUCA